UGAGGAAUAUUGGUCAAUGGACGAGAGUCUGAACCAGCCAAGUAGCGUGCAGGAUGACGGCCCUAUGGGUUGUAAACUGCUUUUGUUUGGGAAUAAUCGACAUUACGUGUAAUGUUUUGCAUGUACCAUUCGAAUAAGGACCGGCUAAUUCCGUGCCAGCAGCCGCGGUAAUACGGAAGGUCCAGGCGUUAUCCAGAUUUCUUGGGUUUAAAGGGAGUGUAGGCGGUUGGUUAAGCCUGUUGUGAAAUGUAGAUGCUCAACAUCUGACUUGAAGCGCGAACUGGCUGACUUGAGUACACACAACGUAGGCGGAAUUCAUGGUGUAGCUGUGAAAUGCUUAGUUAUCAAUAAGAACUCCGAUUGCUAAGGCAGCUUACGAGGGUGUUACUGACGCUUAAGCUCGAAGGUGCGGAUAUCGAACAGG
RNAcentral lists this ribosomal RNA (424 nucleotides) under Verrucomicrobiota bacterium. RNAcentral's name for it is "Verrucomicrobia bacterium partial 16S ribosomal RNA". It matches the Rfam family "Bacterial small subunit ribosomal RNA", at positions 355 to 776 of the family's 1533-position model. Lineage: Bacteria; Pseudomonadati; Verrucomicrobiota. The record is from RNAcentral.